UACGAAGGGGGCUAGCGUUGCUCGGAAUCACUGGGCGUAAAGGGCGCGUAGGCGGCCAUUCAAGUCGGAGGCGAAAGCCCAGGGCUCAACCCUGGAAUUGCCUUCGAUACUGUCUGGCUAGAGACCGGAAGGGGUAAGUGGAACUGCGAGUGUAGAGGUGAAAUUCGUAGAUAUUCGCAAGAACACCAGUGGCGAAGGCGGGUUACUGGUCCGGUUCUGACGCUGAGGCGCGAAAGCGUGGGGAGCAAACAGG
RNAcentral lists this ribosomal RNA (253 nucleotides) under uncultured bacterium. RNAcentral's name for it is "partial 16S ribosomal RNA". It matches the Rfam family "Bacterial small subunit ribosomal RNA", at positions 524 to 776 of the family's 1533-position model. The record is from RNAcentral.